This 1540-nucleotide ribosomal RNA is filed under the name Staphylococcus aureus SJOS6072. Its description in RNAcentral is "16S ribosomal RNA". It matches the Rfam family "Bacterial small subunit ribosomal RNA". The record is from RNAcentral. RNAcentral also lists the same sequence under 1 other name. Lineage: Bacteria; Bacillati; Bacillota; Bacilli; Caryophanales; Staphylococcaceae.
AGAGUUUGAUCCUGGCUCAGGAUGAACGCUGGCGGCGUGCCUAAUACAUGCAAGUCGAGCGAACGGACGAGAAGCUUGCUUCUCUGAUGUUAGCGGCGGACGGGUGAGUAACACGUGGAUAACCUACCUAUAAGACUGGGAUAACUUCGGGAAACCGGAGCUAAUACCGGAUGAUAUUUUGAACCGCAUGGUUCAAAAGUGAAAGACGGUCUUGCUGUCACUUAUAGAUGGAUCCGCGCUGCAUUAGCUAGUUGGUAAGGUAACGGCUUACCAAGGCAACGAUGCAUAGCCGACCUGAGAGGGUGAUCGGCCACACUGGAACUGAGACACGGUCCAGACUCCUACGGGAGGCAGCAGUAGGGAAUCUUCCGCAAUGGGCGAAAGCCUGACGGAGCAACGCCGCGUGAGUGAUGAAGGUCUUCGGAUCGUAAAACUCUGUUAUUAGGGAAGAACAUAUGUAUAAGUAACUGUGCACAUCUUGACGGUACCUAAUCAGAAAGCCACGGCUAACUACGUGCCAGCAGCCGCGGUAAUACGUAGGUGGCAAGCGUUAUCCGGAAUUAUUGGGCGUAAAGCGCGCGUAGGCGGUUUUUUAAGUCUGAUGUGAAAGCCCACGGCUCAACCGUGGAGGGUCAUUGGAAACUGGAAAACUUGAGUGCAGAAGAGGAAAGUGGAAUUCCAUGUGUAGCGGUGAAAUGCGCAGAGAUAUGGAGGAACACCAGUGGCGAAGGCGACUUUCUGGUCUGUAACUGACGCUGAUGUGCGAAAGCGUGGGGAUCAAACAGGAUUAGAUACCCUGGUAGUCCACGCCGUAAACGAUGAGUGCUAAGUGUUAGGGGGUUUCCGCCCCUUAGUGCUGCAGCUAACGCAUUAAGCACUCCGCCUGGGGAGUACGACCGCAAGGUUGAAACUCAAAGGAAUUGACGGGGACCCGCACAAGCGGUGGAGCAUGUGGUUUAAUUCGAAGCAACGCGAAGAACCUUACCAAAUCUUGACAUCCUUUGACAACUCUAGAGAUAGAGCCUUCCCCUUCGGGGGACAAAGUGACAGGUGGUGCAUGGUUGUCGUCAGCUCGUGUCGUGAGAUGUUGGGUUAAGUCCCGCAACGAGCGCAACCCUUAAGCUUAGUUGCCAUCAUUAAGUUGGGCACUCUAAGUUGACUGCCGGUGACAAACCGGAGGAAGGUGGGGAUGACGUCAAAUCAUCAUGCCCCUUAUGAUUUGGGCUACACACGUGCUACAAUGGACAAUACAAAGGGCAGCGAAACCGCGAGGUCAAGCAAAUCCCAUAAAGUUGUUCUCAGUUCGGAUUGUAGUCUGCAACUCGACUACAUGAAGCUGGAAUCGCUAGUAAUCGUAGAUCAGCAUGCUACGGUGAAUACGUUCCCGGGUCUUGUACACACCGCCCGUCACACCACGAGAGUUUGUAACACCCGAAGCCGGUGGAGUAACCUUUUAGGAGCUAGCCGUCGAAGGUGGGACAAAUGAUUGGGGUGAAGUCGUAACAAGGUAGCCGUAUCGGAAGGUGCGGCUGGAUCACCU